CAUUUUGUGGAUAUCUCACACACUUUUGUGUCUUGUAAAUAUGAAAUUGUUUGGAAUGCACAGAAUGCUAGGGUUCUCAUAUCUGAAAUGGACCUUUAUACAGUUGAAUAAAAUUUGCAUUUGGCUUUGACGCUUGAAUACUACUUGUAGUACGAAGACCUGCAUCUUCAUUUUGAAUGCUGGUCUAUUUUUAACAGUAGUGUUUUUCUAUUGAAUGAAGCAAUAUUUCAGAAAUUUACUGUUCAGUUCAAGAAUUCGCCAUAACUAAUAUGUGACAUCAUUGGAGGAAUACAGAUUUUUUUCUUACUUUGGUACCCUCUUAUCUAAAGUCGGCUUUAUACGAGCCAUAAGGUAAAACCACAAAACAUUAAACAAUACUAUUCUUUAUUUAUACUAUUCUGUGGUAAAACAACAAAACACAGUUUUAGUUUGAUUAUUCGAAAAUGAUUUAAAUGGUUUUAUGCAACUUUAGAAAUAUUUUUAAUUAUUUCCUCAAUGCAAGACAUUAUAGUACAGAUACGAAAAUCAUCAUGAGAUAUCUGAAUGUGGCAGAGAAGAAUGAUGCGGCCAAAAAUAUUGCAUCUAUUUUAUCCAGAGGAAACUCUAAUAGGAGAGAAGGUUUUUCUGUAUACAAUAAGAUAUAUGAAUUUACAGCUCAUGUUCUUGGAGAAGAAGCUACAAUGAUUAUGACCUCGGUAUCUGGACAUUUGCUCAACUAUGAAUUCACAGUAAACCAUAAAUCGUGGCAGGGCUGUAAUCCAGUAGAACUGUUUGAUGCCCCAGUGGUGAAAACAUGUCAUGCAGAUUUCCAAAAUAUAAAAGUAAGAUGUGCUGAUACAUGCAGGG
Unclassified non-coding RNA from Leptinotarsa decemlineata (Colorado potato beetle), 846 nucleotides. The record is from RefSeq and is a predicted model, not a curated record. NCBI's taxonomy places the organism in Eukaryota, Metazoa, Arthropoda, Insecta, Coleoptera, Chrysomelidae.